This 200-nucleotide ribosomal RNA is filed under the name uncultured bacterium. RNAcentral's name for it is "partial 16S ribosomal RNA". It matches the Rfam family "Bacterial small subunit ribosomal RNA", at positions 328 to 539 of the family's 1533-position model. The record is from RNAcentral.
ACGCUCGACACCUACGGGGGGCAGCAGUCGGGAAUAUUGCGCAAUGGAGGAAACUCUGACGCAGUGACGCCGCGUGCAGGAAGAAGGUUUUCGGAUUGUAAACUGCUUUAGACAGGGAAGAAAGAAAUGACAGUACCUGUAGAAUAAGCUCCGGCUAACUACGUGCAGCAGCCGCGGUAAUCUGAGCGGGCUGGCAAGGC